Long non-coding RNA from Equus asinus (donkey), 2666 nucleotides. NCBI's taxonomy places the organism in Eukaryota, Metazoa, Chordata, Mammalia, Perissodactyla, Equidae. The record is from Ensembl.
UUUGUGCGUCAACAGAGCGUUUAAUCUCAGCUCGCCCUGGGCAGGAAGGAGCCUGCUUUGGUGAAGGACUCCGGACCCGGGCGGCCAGGAGCCGGGAGGAGCGGGAGGAAGGCCGGUCCCCCCAUAACCGCCCGGCCGGCCCCUCAGACGGCAGCACGGCCCCUGCCUUCAGGAGGGCUCCAACGGCCCGCGAUUAACCCUUUGAAAACAGCAUCACUCAGUCUCAUCUUCUCUCCGUUAAAAACUGAAGCAUGUAACGCACAGGUGCUGACACACAAAAACGCUGGCCCUGACCCUCACCUUUGACCUCUGUGCCAUACCGCUGCAUCUCAGCAGAACAGGGCUUGGCGUAGCUUUUAACUUUUUGUUCUUUUUUUUCCAUUUUCUGUUCUAUAUUGUCCUAAGACUUGCUUUUUUCAUUGAACCCUCUACAUCUGGGACAUCAUUUCACGCCAGAUACAGGCAGGUCGCCCCAUUCUGUUAAUGUCCAAGUUGUGUCACACGGCCCCUGACGCACAGCGCGGAGCUGUUAUGACUGUUUGGGUCAGAAUGGCCCAUUUGUGGUCACCUUCAGUUCUCAGAACAUGGUUCCUUUGAACGUGCUCUGCAGCCUGUUUACAUGUGACACAGUGAGCUGGUUUGGGGAAAACCCAUCAGGUCUGGGCUUGUCGGGUGGGGGCAGGUCUGAGGUGCCCUGUCACCCACACACUCUAGACUGAGUCCGAGAUGGUGCUGGUGGGGAAAGUAAAAGCAGGCCCCAGCACCAUGGUCCGGGAUGUUCCCAGUUCCCAAGAGGCCACCUCCACAUCUACGGGUUCCAGAAUGUCAAACCUUCACAGCAUUGUGACUCGUUCCCAGAAUGGUGGUGCCUGGUAAUUCACAAAGCAACUCCAGGUACACCACAGUUUGUCCACAUCUCCAAAGAAAGCCCUACUCAGUCUCCCCUGAGUGAUGGAGAGCAAGCAGGCCCCCGUCAGCAGCAGGCCCUGCGCUCCGCCAGGCUGGCACAGGGAGAGUGAGGAGGGAAGGGCAGGGGCUGCCGUAAAGUCAAAAGGAACUGCCAACAAUACAGCUCUGUCUCCCAGGGGUGACUCACCAGUGAAAACAGAAGACCGGCCCACGUGCCAGCAUCUGCAGGACAGCGUCCAGGAGCGGGUGCAGCCAGCUUCAGGGGGCCAACGCUCCAGCACCUUCCUCAGGCCCCGUGAAUGGGGCCUGGUCGUCUCCCUGCAGCCUCGGUUUGGAAGCUCGUGGAAGGAACCAGGAGGUCAGAGGACAGCAGGCCAGCCCUUCCAGCCCCAGGACGGCGUUCAGAAGCUUCUAGAAGCCUCCCAGCCCUUACCUCCUGCCAAAGACCGAGCCAGUGCUGCCGGCACCCGGGCUGCCCCCACGCACUCAGGAAACAAGGAUGCCAGUGGGGUGGCAUGCCCUCCUCAGUAAUGUUCUGUGCAGCCCAUGCCGUCCUGGAGGAGCAGGGAGCUAACUGGCUGGUAGAUGCAGAGAGGCGGGGCCGUUUCUUUCUCCCACCUUUGUUCACAUGAGGGAAUUCACAAGGCCAUCCUGGAACGCUACAGUGUGCCUUGUGGAGUUGGCCAGUUCUCCCCCAGCAACUGGGUAUGUUUUUGGUGCAUAACGAGUCAUGUAAAAACCAGGACAAUGUGACCUCUGUCAGGGCUCAGCCGCGAGGGGACUGGGAGGGGAGACAGUAGGGACAGUGGCAGCUACGCCUCUAUAGAGCACGUCUGGCUGGGCGCUGUCCAGGCCCUUUGCACUUAUGAACAUUUAACUCAGAUCACGACCCCACAGAGCAGGUGCGAUGGAUCGCCAUUUUACAGAUAAGGACUCUGAGACACAGAGCCGGUGAGUAACUUGCCCAAGGUCACACAGCUAGGAAAUGGCCGAGCCGGGACUUGAACCCAGGCGACCCAGCUCCACGGCUUGUGUUCUUAACUCUGUUGGGUUUUGUGUGGUUGCCUCUAAUCCAAAGACGUUGGCAAUGGGUGGGCUCUCGGUGACAUACACCGUGGCUGACUCGUCCCCCAUUCCCAGCCUUUCCUCCAUGCCUGCAUCUACCACAGGUCCAGAAAGGCUAUUUGCUUUCCCAGGCUCCCUUGCAGUUCUGGCCAACGAGCUGGAGGCAGAAGUCAACUGGGGAGAUUGUGGGAAAGCUUUUCAUUUCCUGAUAAAAGGAGUAAAGGUAGCUGAUGCCCCCUGUGCCCUUUAUUGCUGUCUUGAAUGUGGAUGCAAUGCCUGGAGUCAUGGCAGCCAUCUCGUGAUCUGAGGGAAAGGCUAGGAGAAGCACGGACAGUGACCUGGAACGACCUCCCCAGUCCCAAGACCUCUGUUUGUAUGGGAAAAUUAAACCCUGUCUGUUUACAUCGCUGGGUUAGGGUUUCUUACAGCUAAAAAUCAUACCUAAUGUUCUUUUCUCUUUCUUCCUCUCACUUAUUCCCACUUGAAAGUGGCUGGUUGUUAAAAGUCAGCAUCUUGGAAGGAGUGAGGGACAGUGAAAGGCCGCUUUCCCAGGAUAUUCAGCGGAAUUGCAUCCUCCCGUGGCCUUUCCAGCUCCACUUAGGAGCCCCUCCCGUAGUCCACGUGUGCGUGUGGACCGCGGCUCCAGGUCCACUCUCCCCUCAAUGCUCCUAACAGCCCAGAAGGGAGGCCAG